GGUUAAGUGACUAAGCGUACACGGUGGAUGCCUUGGCAGUCAGAGGCGAUGAAGGACGUAUUAACUUGCGAUAAGCCCAGAUUAGGUAGUAAAAACCACUUGAGUCUGGGAUUUCCGAAUGGGGAAACCCAAUACCAUAAGGUAUUACUGUUGAGUGAAUACAUAGCUCAACAGGGCGAACCGGGGGAACUGAAACAUCUAAGUACCCCG
RNAcentral lists this ribosomal RNA (210 nucleotides) under Vibrio alginolyticus. RNAcentral describes it as "partial 23S ribosomal RNA". It matches the Rfam family "Bacterial large subunit ribosomal RNA", at positions 1 to 213 of the family's 2925-position model. The record is from RNAcentral. Lineage: Bacteria; Pseudomonadati; Pseudomonadota; Gammaproteobacteria; Vibrionales; Vibrionaceae.